RNAcentral lists this ribosomal RNA (252 nucleotides) under uncultured Odoribacter sp. RNAcentral describes it as "partial 16S ribosomal RNA". It matches the Rfam family "Bacterial small subunit ribosomal RNA", at positions 524 to 776 of the family's 1533-position model. Lineage: Bacteria; Pseudomonadati; Bacteroidota; Bacteroidia; Bacteroidales; Odoribacteraceae. The record is from RNAcentral.
UACGGAGGAUGCGAGCGUUAUCCGGAUUUAUUGGGUUUAAAGGGUGCGUAGGCGGUUUUUUAAGUUAGUGGUUAAACGUCGGGGCUUCACCUUGAUUUGCCAUUAAUACUGUAAGACUCGAGUUCAGACGAGGUAGGCGGAAUAAGUUAAGUAGCGGUGAAAUGCUUAGAUAUAACUUAGAACUCCGAUAGCGAAGGCAGCUUACCGGCGCUCAACUGACGCUGAGGCACGAAAGUGCGGGUAUCGAACAGG